This 254-nucleotide ribosomal RNA is filed under the name uncultured bacterium. Its description in RNAcentral is "partial 16S ribosomal RNA". It matches the Rfam family "Bacterial small subunit ribosomal RNA", at positions 524 to 776 of the family's 1533-position model. The record is from RNAcentral.
CACGUAGGGGGCAAGCGUUGUCCGGAUUCAUUGGGCGUAAAGAGCUCGUAGGCGGUUCGAUAAGUCGGGUGUGAAACCUCCAGGCUCAACCUGGAGACGCCACCCGAUACUGUCGUGACUAGAGUCCGGAAGGGGCGAGUGGAAUUCCUGGUGUAGCGGUGAAAUGCGCAGAUAUCAGGAGGAACACCAAUGGCGAAGGCAGCUCGCUGGGACGUGACUGACGCUGAGACGCGAAAGCGUGGGGAGCAAACAGG